This 253-nucleotide ribosomal RNA is filed under the name uncultured bacterium. RNAcentral describes it as "partial 16S ribosomal RNA". It matches the Rfam family "Bacterial small subunit ribosomal RNA", at positions 524 to 776 of the family's 1533-position model. The record is from RNAcentral.
UACAGAGGGGGCUAGCGUUGUUCGGAAUUACUGGGCGUAAAGCGCACGUAGGCGGCUUCUUAAGUCGGAGGUGAAAUCCUGGAGCUCAACUCCAGAACUGCCUUCGAUACUGGGAAGCUCGAGUCCGGGAGAGGUGAGUGGAACUGCGAGUGUAGAGGUGAAAUUCGUAGAUAUUCGCAAGAACACCAGUGGCGAAGGCGGCUCACUGGCCCGGUACUGACGCUGAGGUGCGAAAGCGUGGGGAGCAAACAGG